CGUAACAAGGUUUCCGUAGGUGAACCUGCGGAAGGAUCAUUCGUGCACAUCAGAGCACAGUGAGUGUGAAGA
Molecule: ribosomal RNA, 72 nt
Filed under: Prorocentrum caipirignum
Lineage: Eukaryota; Dinophyceae; Prorocentrales; Prorocentraceae
Description: partial 18S ribosomal RNA
Rfam family: Eukaryotic small subunit ribosomal RNA (bases 1-42)
Source: RNAcentral